Molecule: ribosomal RNA, 514 nt
Filed under: uncultured bacterium
Lineage: Bacteria
Description: bacterial SSU rRNA
Rfam family: Bacterial small subunit ribosomal RNA
Source: RNAcentral
AGAGUUUGAUUAUGGCUCAGGAUGAACGCUAGCUACAGGCUUAACACAUGCAAGUCGAGGGGUAGCAGGGUAGCAAUACCGCUGACGACCGGCGCACGGGUGAGUAACACGUAUCCAACCUUCCCAUAACUCAGGGAUAGCCUUUCGAAAGAAAGAUUAAUACCUGAUAGUACUUAUAUAAGGCAUCUUAUUUAAGUUAAAGAUUUAUUGGUUAUGGAUGGGGAUGCGUUCCAUUAGAUAGUUGGUGAGGUAACGGCUCACCAAGUCUUCGAUGGAUAGGGGUUCUGAGAGGAAGGUCCCCCACAUUGGUACUGAGACACGGACCAGACUCCUACGGGAGGCAGCAGUGAGGAAUAUUGGUCAAUGGGCGAGAGCCUGAACCAGCCAAGUAGCGUGAAAGGAUGAAGGUCCUAUGGAUUGUAAACUUCUUUUAUAGUAGAAUAAAGUUAUCCACGUGUGGUUAUUUGUAUGUAUACUAUGAAUAAGGAUCGGCUAACUCCGUGCCAGCCGCCGC